Molecule: ribosomal RNA, 494 nt
Filed under: uncultured bacterium
Lineage: Bacteria
Description: partial 16S ribosomal RNA
Rfam family: Bacterial small subunit ribosomal RNA
Source: RNAcentral
GACGAACGCUGGCGGCGCGCUUAACACAUGCAAGUCGAACGGAAAGGCCUGCUUUCCCUUGUGGAUUGCGGGUACUCGAGUGGCGAACGGGUGAGUAACACGUGAGUGAUCUGCCCCCAGCUUGGGUAUAAGCCUGGGAAACUGGGUCUAAUUCCCGAUAGGACUGCAGGGUGGUGCCUGUGGUGGAAAACGAUUUUCUAGUGGUUGGGGAUGAGCUCGCGGCCUAUCAGCUUGUUGGUGGGGUAAUGGCCUACCAAGGCGGCGACGGGUAGCCGGCCUGAGAGGGUGGACGGCCACAUUGGGACUGAGAUACGGCCCAGACUCCUACGGGAGGCAGCAGUGGGGAAUAUUGCACAAUGGGCGGAAGCCUGAUGCAGCGACGCCGCGUGGGGGAUGACGGUCUUCGGGUUGUAAACUCCUUUCGACCGCGAGGAAGCCACCUGGUUGGAAGGGUGGUGACGGUAGUGGUAGAAGAAGCACCGGCUAACUACGUG